Molecule: ribosomal RNA, 497 nt
Filed under: uncultured bacterium
Lineage: Bacteria
Description: partial 16S ribosomal RNA
Rfam family: Bacterial small subunit ribosomal RNA
Source: RNAcentral
GAUGAGCGCUGGCGGCGUGCCUAAUACAUGCAAGUCGAGCGAACAGAUGAGGAGCUUGCUCCUCUGACGUUAGCGGCGGACGGGUGAGUAACACGUGGAUAACCUACCUAUAAGACUGGGAUAACUUCGGGAAACCGGAGCUAAUACCGGAUAAUAUAUUGAACCGCAUGGUUCAAUAGUGAAAGACGGUUUUGCUGUCACUUAUAGAUGGAUCCGCGCCGCAUUAGCUAGUUGGUAAGGUAACGGCUUACCAAGGCAACGAUGCGUAGCCGACCUGAGAGGGUGAGAGGCCACACUGGAACUGAGACACGGUCCAGACUCCUACGGGAGGCAGCAGUAGGGAAUCUUCCGCAAUGGGCGAAAGCCUGACGGAGCAACGCCGCGUGAGUGAUGAAGGUCUUCGGAUCGUAAAACUCUGUUAUUAGGGAAGAACAAAUGUGUAAGUAACUAUGCACGUCUUGACGGUACCUAAUCAGAAAGCCACGGCUAACUACGUG